Molecule: ribosomal RNA, 491 nt
Filed under: uncultured bacterium
Lineage: Bacteria
Description: partial 16S ribosomal RNA
Rfam family: Bacterial small subunit ribosomal RNA
Source: RNAcentral
GUGAACGCUGGCGGUAGGCCUAACACAUGCCAGUCGAACGGCAGCACAGUAAGAGCUUGCUCUUACGGGUGGCGAGUGGCGGACGGGUGAGGAAUACAUCGGAAUCUACUUUUUCGUGGGGGAUAACGUAGGGAAACUUACGCUAAUACCGCAUACGACCUACGGGUGAAAGCAGGGGAUCUUCGGACCUUGCGCGAUUGAAUGAGCCGAUGUCGGAUUAGCUAGUUGGCGGGGUAAAGGCCCACCAAGGCGACGAUCCGUAGCUGGUCUGAGAGGAUGAUCAGCCACACUGGAACUGAGACACGGUCCAGACUCCUACGGGAGGCAGCAGUGGGGAAUAUUGGACAAUGGGCGCAAGCCUGAUCCAGCCAUACCGCGUGGGUGAAGAAGGCCUUCGGGUUGUAAUGCCCUUUUGUUGGGAAAGAAAAGCAGCAGGUUAAUACCCCGCUGUUCUGACGGUACCCAAAGAAUAAGCACCGGCUAACUUCGUG